CCUACGGGAGGCAGCAGUAGGGAAUCUUUCACAAUGGGCGAAAGCCUGACGCAGCAACGCCGCGUGCAGGAUGAAGGCCUUAGGGUUGUAAACUGCUUUUAUCAGCGAGAAAUAUGAUGGUAACUUAUGACUAAUGAUUGGCUAACUCCGUGCAAGCAGCCGCGGUCAUACGUCGGAGCCGAGCCUUAUCCGGAGUGGCUGGGUGUAAAGAGGUGCGUAAGUGGUAUAAUAAGUAGCUAGGGAAAUCUGGUGGCUUAACCAUUCAGACUAUUAGCGAAACUGUUAAGCUCGAGACCGUUAGGGGUAACUGGAAUUUCUGGUGUAGGAGUGAAAUCCGUAGAUAUUAGAAGGAACACCAAUAGCGAAGGCAGGUUGCUGGGACGGUACUGACGCUGAGGCACGAAAGCGUAGGGAGCAAACGGGAUUAGAUACCCUAGUAGUC
This 442-nucleotide ribosomal RNA is filed under the name uncultured bacterium. RNAcentral describes it as "partial 16S ribosomal RNA". It matches the Rfam family "Bacterial small subunit ribosomal RNA", at positions 338 to 795 of the family's 1533-position model. The record is from RNAcentral.